This 271-nucleotide ribosomal RNA is filed under the name uncultured archaeon. RNAcentral's name for it is "partial 16S ribosomal RNA". It matches the Rfam family "Archaeal small subunit ribosomal RNA", at positions 477 to 747 of the family's 1478-position model. The record is from RNAcentral.
CAGCGCCACAAGUGGCAAUCACGUUUAUUGGGCCUAAAGCGUCCGUAGCCGGUUUAGCAAAUCUUUUGUGAGAUCGUCAGGCUUAACUUGACGAAUUGCAGAAGACACUACUAAACUAGGGACUGGGAGGAGUCAGAAGUAUUCUGGGGGGACCGGUAAAAUGGUAUAAUCCCCAGAGGACUACCGAUGGCGAAGGCAUCUGACCAGAACAGAUCCGACGGUGAGGGACGAAAGCCAGGGGAGCAAACCGGAUUAGAUACCCGAGUAGUCC